AUAAGUAACAGGUCGUAGACCCGAAACCAGGUGAUCUACCCAUGUCCAGGAUGAAGGUAAGGUAAUACUUACUGGAGGUCCGAACCCACGCACGUUGAAAAGUGCGGGGAUGAGGUGUGGGUAGCGGAGAAAUUCCAAUCGAACUUGGAGAUAGCUGGUUCUCUCCGAAAUAGCUUUAGGGCUAGCCUCGAGGUAAAGAGUCAUGGAGGUAGAGCACUGUUUGGACUAGGGGCCCUUCUCGGGUUACCGAAUUCAGAUAAACUCCGAAUGCCAUGUACUUAUACUCGGGAGUCAGACUGCGAGUGAUAAGAUCCGUAGUCGAAAGGGAAACAGCCCAGACCACCAGUUAAGGUCCCCAAAUAUAUGUUAAGUGGAAAAGGAUGUGGGGUUGCUUAGACAACCAGGAUGUUGGCUUAGAAGCAGCCACCAUUGAAAGAGUGCGUAAUAGCUCACUGGUCGAGUGACCCCGCGCCGAAAAUGUACCGGGGCUAAACAUAUUACCGAAACUGUGGAUGAACCUCAUUAGAGGUUCGUGGUAGGAGAGCGUUCUAAGGGCGGUGAAGUCAGACCGGAAGGACUGGUGGAGCGCUUAGAAGUGAGAAUGCCGGUAUGAGUAGCGAAAGAAGGGUGAGAAUCCCUUCCACCGAAUAUCUAAGGUUUCCUGAGGAAGGCUCGUCCGCUCAGGGUUAGUCGGGACCUAAGCCGAGGCCGAUAGGCGUAGGCGAUGGACAACAGGUAGAGAUUCCUGUACCAGUGCUAAUUGUUUAACCGAUGGGGUGACACAGAAGGAUAGGGAAUCGCACGAAUGGAAAUGUGCGUCCAAGCAGUGAGUGUGAGAAGUAGGCAAAUCCGCUUCUCGCGAAGCAUGAGCUGUGAUGGGGAAGGAAAUUAAGUACGGAAGUUCCUGAUUUCACGCUGUCAAGAAAAGCCUCUAGGAAGAGUAGUACUGCCCGUACCGCAAACCGACACAGGUAGAUGAGGAGAGAAUCCUAAGGUGAGCGAGAGAACUCUCGUUAAGGAACUCGGCAAAAUGACCCCGUAACUUCGGGAGAAGGGGUGCUCUAUUAGGGUGCAAGCCCGAGAGAGCCGCAGUGAAUAGGCCCAGGCGACUGUUUAGCAAAAACACAGGUCUCUGCAAAACCGUAAGGUGACGUAUAGGGGCUGACGCCUGCCCGGUGCUGGAAGGUUAAGAGGAGUGCUUAGCUUCGGCGAAGGUACGAAUUGAAGCCCCAGUAAACGGCGGCCGUAACUAUAACGGUCCUAAGGUAGCGAAAUUCCUUGUCGGGUAAGUUCCGACCCGCACGAAAGGCGCAACGAUCUGGGCACUGUCUCAACGAGAGACUCGGUGAAAUUAUAGUACCUGUGAAGAUGCAGGUUACCCGCGACAGGACGGAAAGACCCCGUGGAGCUUUACUGCAACCUGAUAUGGAAUGUUUGUACCGCUUGUACAGGAUAGGUAGGAGCCGAAGAGACGUGUGCGCUAGCAUACGAGGAGGCAAUGGUGGGAUACUACCCUGGCUGUAUGACCAUUCUAACCCGCCACGCUUAGCGCGUGGGGAGACAGUGUCAGGUGGGCAGUUUGACUGGGGCGGUCGCCUCCUAAAGAGUAACGGAGGCGCCCAAAGGUUCCCUCAGAAUGGAUGGAAAUCAUUCGCAGAGUGUAAAGGCACAAGGGAGCUUGACUGCGAGACUGACAAGUCGAGCAGGGACGAAAGUCGGGCUUAGUGAUCCGGUGGUUCCGCAUGGAAGGGCCAUCGCUCAACGGAUAAAAGCUACCCCGGGGAUAACAGGCUUAUCUCCCCCAAGAGUCCACAUCGACGGGGAGGUUUGGCACCUCGAUGUCGGCUCGUCGCAUCCUGGGGCUGUAGUCGGUCCCAAGGGUUGGGCUGUUCGCCCAUUAAAGCGGCACGCGAGCUGGGUUCAGAACGUCGUGAGACAGUUCGGUCCCUAUCCGUCGCGGGCGCAGGAAAUUUGAGAGGAGCUGUCCUUAGUACGAGAGGACCGGGAUGGACACACCGCUGGUGUACCAGUUGUUCCGCCAGGAGCAUCGCUGGGUAGCUAUGUGUGGCAGGGAUAAACGCUGAAAGCAUCUAAGCGUGAAGCCCCCCUCAAGAUGAGAUUUCCCAUUUCUUCGGAAAGUAAGAUCCCUGAAAGAUGAUCAGGUAGAUAGGUUUGGAGUGGAAGUGUAGCGAUACAUGGAGCGGACAAAUACUAAUCGAUCGAGGACUUAACCAAAA
RNAcentral lists this ribosomal RNA (2237 nucleotides) under Listeria monocytogenes. Its description in RNAcentral is "partial 23S ribosomal RNA". It matches the Rfam family "Bacterial large subunit ribosomal RNA", at positions 695 to 2925 of the family's 2925-position model. The record is from RNAcentral. Lineage: Bacteria; Bacillati; Bacillota; Bacilli; Caryophanales; Listeriaceae.